AUGGACUUGGAAGUCUAUUUAAUAUUCGCAUGACAGAUUGUUCAUGGAGGGUUAGCAUACUUGAUUGGUGUAGAGGUUUUUACACUCUAAUAAAAUGCCAAGUUUUUUGCCCUUUUCUUUUUCUCGCUAUGUCCCAAGUCGUGUUAGUUGUUCUAGCUGUGAUGAAGCAUUGACCUGUAAGAAGAACCUUUAUUACUUGGUUUCUUCUAUGAAAUGUACUUGAUACGCUUGGCUUCUGAGUUUGAAUGCAUGAGCUUUGCAUGAUUAGCAUGUAAAGUUUCAUAUCUUUUAGAACACAGUCGAUCUUAACAUGAUAAAAUGUGCCAUUAUACAAGACAAAUGAUUUGUAUUGGUGGCUGUUAUCGAUGUUGGGAUUCUUAAAGUGGCUUGGAGAAUUUUCUCUGAUAACCUUUUUUGUCUUUAGUGAAUUCUCUUUCGAAUGUUUUGUAAUAUUCUCGCUAUGUUAUUAGUCAAGUUGGUGAUUCCAGCAGUGAUGAAGCAGUAAUGUGUUAGGAGAACCUUUGUUGGUUUCUUCGAGGAAAUAUAAUUGUACGCUUGGCUUCUGAGCUCAAAUACUUUUGACUUCUUUUUAAAUUGUUUUGUAAUAUUCUAACUAUGUUAUUAGUCAUGUUGGUAAUUCCAGCAGUGAUGAAGCAGUAAUGUGUUAGAAGAACCUUUGUUGGUUUCUUCAAGGAAAUAUAAUUAUACGCUUGGCUUCUGAGCUCAAAUACUUUUGACUUCUUUUUAAAUUGUUUUGUAAUAUUCUAACUAUGUUAUUAGUCAUGUUGGUAAUUCCAGCAGUGAUGAAGCAUUAAUGUGUUAGGAGAACCUUCAUUUGGUUUCUUCGAGGACAUAUACUUGUACGCUUGGCUUCUGAGCUCAAAUGCUUGAACUUGCUUGUUGCAUAGUUUCAUUUCCUUAAAAUUUUAUUCAAAUGAUCUCAACAUGAUGUACUUAGGUUUUGACUCCUGAAAGGGAAAACACUUAGAAGACAAUUGUAUGUGGAUUGGUUGCUUAUGUGCUUGUGUUGGAUGUUGUUAGGCC
This 1044-nucleotide long non-coding RNA is filed under the name Eucalyptus grandis. Its description in RNAcentral is "long non-coding RNA (EGRA_LNC006148)". The stretch from base 153 to 244 matches the Rfam family "Small nucleolar RNA R24". Lineage: Eukaryota; Viridiplantae; Streptophyta; Magnoliopsida; Myrtales; Myrtaceae. The record is from RNAcentral.